This 77-nucleotide transfer RNA is filed under the name Deltaproteobacteria bacterium. RNAcentral describes it as "tRNA-Ile". It matches the Rfam family "tRNA". From Rfam's summary of the family: Transfer RNA (tRNA) molecules are approximately 80 nucleotides in length. Lineage: Bacteria; Pseudomonadati; Myxococcota; Myxococcia. The record is from RNAcentral.
UGGCCCGUAGCUCAGUUGGUUAGAGCGCACGCCUGAUAAGCGUGAGGUCGGGAGUUCAACUCUCCCUGGGCCAACCA